ACCACCCACAGGUUUGUGCAGAAGUGCUGGGUCCCUUUCCCACGCCCAGACUAGGCAGAGCUGGGAUGAGAGAUUUGAUACAGAUCUUGCCACAGCCUGUGGCAAGGGCACUCCUCUCUCUGUGGCAGACUCCAGAUUGCACUCUGGUGUGGGAAAUCAGGCAUGAGCUCCCAGCAAAGACUGAAAGAAAGCAGCAUUCAAGUGGGGGCAAAUGCUCGGAGAGCAUGUCCUGAGCCCUCGGAGCAGCCCCUGAAGGUGAGAGUGGGGUGCUUUAUUUCUGAGAGCAAUUUUGCCUUAUGGGCUCGCGCACGUCACCAAAGCUUCAUUUUGCU
RNAcentral lists this long non-coding RNA (332 nucleotides) under Manacus vitellinus (golden-collared manakin). RNAcentral's name for it is "lncRNA (ENSMVIG00005017568.1)". Lineage: Eukaryota; Metazoa; Chordata; Aves; Passeriformes; Pipridae. The record is from RNAcentral.